RNAcentral lists this ribosomal RNA (405 nucleotides) under uncultured bacterium. RNAcentral describes it as "partial 16S ribosomal RNA". It matches the Rfam family "Bacterial small subunit ribosomal RNA", at positions 28 to 526 of the family's 1533-position model. The record is from RNAcentral.
GAUGAACGCUGGCGGCGUGCCUAAUACAUGCAAGUCCAGCGACGCGCGGACGGGUGAGUAACCCGUGGAUAACCUCCUCUCAGACUGGGAUAACUUCGGGAAACCGGCGCUAAACCGUAUACUUAUAUAUGGAUCCGCGCUGCAUUAUCUAGUUGGUAAGUUAACGGCUUACAAAGGCAACGAUGCAUAGCCGACCUGCGACCGGGAUCGGCCACACUGUACCUGAGACAAUGUCCAGACUCCUACGUGUGGCAGAAGUAGUGAAUCUUCCGCAAUGAGCGAAAGCCUGACGGAGCAACGCCGCGUGAUGGAUGAAGGUCUUCGGAACGUAAAUCUAUGUUAUUAGGGGAGCGGUACCUAAUCAGAAAGCCACGGCUAACGUCGUGCCAGCAGCCGCGGUAAUUC